RNAcentral lists this ribosomal RNA (462 nucleotides) under Rothia mucilaginosa. Its description in RNAcentral is "bacterial SSU rRNA". It matches the Rfam family "Bacterial small subunit ribosomal RNA", at positions 28 to 500 of the family's 1533-position model. Lineage: Bacteria; Bacillati; Actinomycetota; Actinomycetes; Micrococcales; Micrococcaceae. The record is from RNAcentral.
GACGAACGCUGCGGCGUGCUUAACACAUGCAAGUCGAACGAUGAAGCCUAGCUUGCUAGGUGGAUUAGUGGCGAACGGGUGAGUAAUACGUGAGUAACCUACCUUUAACUCUGGGAUAAGCCCGGGAAACUGGGUCUAAUACCGGAUACGACCAAUCUCCGCAUGGGGUGUUGGUGGAAAGCGUUAUGUAGUGGUUAUAGAUGGGCUCACGGCCUAUCAGCUUGUUGGUGAGGUAACGGCUCACCAAGGCGACGACGGGUAGCCGGCCUGAGAGGGUGACCGGCCACACUGGGACUGAGACACGGCCCAGACUCCUACGGGAGGCAGCAGUGGGGAAUAUUGCACAAUGGGCGCAAGCCUGAUGCAGCGACGCCGCGUGAGGGAUGACGGCCUUCGGGUUGUAAACCUCUGUUAGCAGGGAAGAAGAGAGAUUGACGGUACCUGCAGAGAAAGCGCGGCUAA